Molecule: ribosomal RNA, 394 nt
Filed under: uncultured bacterium
Lineage: Bacteria
Description: bacterial SSU rRNA
Rfam family: Bacterial small subunit ribosomal RNA
Source: RNAcentral
AACGAACGCUGGCGGCAGGCCUAACACAUGCAAGUCGAACGGCAGCACGGGGGCAACCUUGGUGGCGAGUGGCGAACGGGUGAGUAAUGCAUCGGAACGUGCCCAGUAGUGGGGGAUAACUAGUCGAAAGAUUAGCUAAUACCGCAUACGACCUAUGGGUGAAAGCGGGGGAUUCGCAAGAACCUCGCGCUAUCGGAGCGGCCGAUGUCUGAUUAGCUAGUUGGCGGGGUAAAAGCCCACCAAGGCGACGAUCAGUAGCUGGUCUGAGAGGACGACCAGCCACACUGGGACUGAGACACGGCCCAGACUCCUACGGGAGGCAGCAGUGGGGAAUUUUGGACAAUGGGCGCAAGCCUGAUCCAGCCAUGCCGCGUGCGGGAAGAAGGCCUGGUGU